GAUGAAGAACGUAGCGAAAUGCGAUAAGUAAUGUGAAUUGCAGAAUUCAGUGAAUCAUCGAAUCUUUGAACGCACAUUGCGCCCGCCAGUAUUCUGGCGGGCAUGCCUGUUCGAGCGUCAUUACAACCCUCAGGCCCCCGGGCCUGGCGUUGGGGAUCGGCGGAGCCCCCCGUGGGCACACGCCGUCCCCCAAAUACAGUGGCGUUCCCGCCGCAGCUUCCAUCGCGUAGUAGCUAACACCUCGCGACUGGAGAGCGGCGCGGCCACGCCGUAAAACACCCAACUCUUCUGAAGUUGACCUCGAAUCAGGUAGGAAUACCCGCUGAACUUAAGCAUAUCAAUAAGCGGAGGA
Molecule: unclassified non-coding RNA, 352 nt
Filed under: soil metagenome
Description: partial contains 5.8S ribosomal RNA, internal transcribed spacer 2, and large subunit ribosomal RNA
Rfam family: 5.8S ribosomal RNA (bases 1-120)
Source: RNAcentral